GGGCCGGUAGCUCAGCCUGGAGGAGCGCUCGGUUUGCACCCGAGAGGUCCGGGGUUCGAAUCCCCGCCGGUCCA
This 74-nucleotide transfer RNA is filed under the name Candidatus Terraquivivens tikiterensis. RNAcentral describes it as "Aigarchaeota archaeon NZ13_MG1 tRNA-Ala". It matches the Rfam family "tRNA". From Rfam's summary of the family: Transfer RNA (tRNA) molecules are approximately 80 nucleotides in length. Their secondary structure includes four short double-helical elements and three loops (D, anti-codon, and T loops). The record is from RNAcentral. Lineage: Archaea; Thermoproteati; Nitrososphaerota; Candidatus Wolframiiraptoraceae.